AGAUGCUGCAAUUUUCUAUAAUUCAUCUAGUUACUGGGAUGAGUUUGUCUGGGGCGGAGCCUGGCUGUACUACGCCACUGGGAACAACUCCUAUCUUCAGCUUGCUACUACACCUGGUCUGGCCAAGCAUGCCGGUGCUUUCUGGGGAGGCCCAGAUUAUGGUAUACUUAGCUGGGACAACAAGCUUGCUGGUGCUCAAGUAAGUUAGUAGAGCUAGUUUUUAUUUUUUUAAGGACUUGGUCAGUUGUGCGAUUUAGUUGUUGUUUCCUGGCAAAUUAACUCAGUGUCAGUGUUUAUGUUGUACAAUUUUUCAGUUUAGUGGUUCAACCAUGUAAGGUCCUCUUGGCAUUCUAAAUCCUGGAUUGCCAUCAUUAGUCAACCCAAAAUUUUACCUAGUUCUUAACAUUGGCAUCAACUUAUUUGUUUAUUGCUUGUAUGAUAUCAUACUAAAGGUUGGGCAAAGUUGAGCCUAUACGAACAAACUGUCAGCAAGUUCUAGGACAUGGCUCUACCUUAAAUUGUCCAUUUUGGUAGUACAUAGCAGAUCCAGGACUUCAUUAUACUACUGGGCAUCCAUUUUAUGUGUUGGACCAUUUAUGAAAGGGAUUGUCUCUGGGUAAUUCACCUCUCAAAAUGAUGGCAUAACACAACUGUCAUGGCUGCCAAACUGGUCUUGUUUUCACUUAUAAUAUUUGAAGUGGAAAUCAUAGUUUUAAAUUGAGUAGCAAGUUUUGGCAGUUGAUUUGUUACUCUUUAUCUUUUAAUAGUUUCCAUUUAGAUAAAUUUGGCAAGAACUGAAGGUAUUAUUUAGUUUGGCAUUCCGUUUUUAUUUUGGAAGUCUUAACAUUUGCCUAAUGUUAAUGGUAUCAAAUUUCUCAGCUUGUUUCAAUGUGUGCUUCUUGAUAUUUGUCUCUGAAGUUGAUAUGUGGUUUGUUUCCAACAGUUCUCCUUUGAUGAUUGUAUUAGUCCAUGCAGCUUUGGGGCCAAACAUGAAUGCUUACCAAAUUGUUAGGCUUUCUCUAACACCUGUGAGCAGUGCUUACAAUGAUACCAACUUUAGUGAACUUUCCCCCUUUUUGAUUGGAUCUCCAUUUUCCGUUUUUAGUAUGUCAAAAUUUCGCUGAAGUUUUUCAUGUUUUUUUCCUUAUAUUUUCUUCUGCCUGCUGUCUUAUUUAUUUAUUUUCUUCUUAUGAUAGUCUCUUUCAUAUCUGCUGAUAUCUCAGCUUUAGGAUGGUCCAGUUGAUUUCUUUAUGAAAAGGUUUACAUCCAUAAAUGAAGUAGCUCCGAGACAUUCACAUUUGCAUGUUGAUCAAAUAAAAUUGGAAUUAUUGUUUGCAAGAGUCAAAAACUCAUGGCUGGUUCAUUGCUGAUAUGCUUUAUGUUUUUUUCUUAAUUAGGUGCUCCUAAGCCGUUUGAGAUUGUUCUUGAGCCCUGGGUAUCCAUAUGAAGAAAUUCUGAGGACAUUUCACAAUCAAACCAGCAUAAUUAUGUGCUCAUACCUACCGAUUUUCACAAGCUUUAACAGAACAAAAGGUACCCCAGCUAAUAUUUCGUCAACCUUACAGUUUGGUGGGGAUGGGUUGCCCAAGUUUAACACAAAAACUUAAUGUAAUGUUUUGGGUACCCCUUGCAGGAGGCUUGAUCCAAUUAAACCAUGGAAGGCCACAACCACUUCAAUACAUUGUCAAUGCUGCCUUCCUGGCUACCCUGUACAGUGAUUAUCUUGAAGCUGCUGACACCCCUGGAUGGUAUUGUGGACCUAAUUUCUAUUCAACUGAAGUCCUGCGUGAAUUUGCCAAGACCCAGGUAUGCGAUAUCUGAUUCCUCAAUUAAAGUUGUGAGGGAACAUGAGUCUGCUCAUGUAGUAAUAAAUAUUGUUGGAACCAACAAGGUCACUUAAAUUUUUCAUAUCUCUGACCUUCUGGCAGAUUGAUUACAUCCUCGGCAAAAAUCCUCGAAAGAUGAGCUAUAUUGCAGGUUUUGGCAAUCAUUAUCCAAGACAUGUCCACCAUAGAGGUGCAUCUAUCCCUAAGAACAAAAUCAAAUAUAAUUGUAAAGGAGGAUGGAAAUGGAGAGACUCUUCGAAGCCAAAUCCAAAUACACUCGUAGGGGCCAUGGUUGCUGGGCCAGACAAGCAUGAUGGUUUCCAUGAUGUCCGUACUAAUUACAACUACACAGAGCCUACGCUUGCAGGAAAUGCAGGUUUAGUAGCUGCACUUGUGGCUCUGUCAGGUGACAAGACAACUGGAAUUGACAAGAACACUAUAUUCUCUGCUGUUCCACCAAUGUUUCCCACUCCACCACCCCCUCCCGCACCUUGGAAACCAUGAGAUACCACACUGAAUAUCAUCCUUUCCUAUAAAGUAUGCGGUGUGGCUUGUGGUUAGAUAAUUUUGUUGGGAGUAUGGUUUUUGGAUUUUGAAUCAC
This 2427-nucleotide long non-coding RNA is filed under the name Vitis vinifera (wine grape). RNAcentral's name for it is "long non-coding RNA (VVIN_LNC003976)". The record is from RNAcentral. Lineage: Eukaryota; Viridiplantae; Streptophyta; Magnoliopsida; Vitales; Vitaceae.